CCUACGGGAGGCAGCAGUAGGGAAUAUUGCUCAAUGGGGGAAACCCUGAUGCAGCUAUUCCGCGUGGAGGAUGAAGGCUUUAGGAUUGUAAACUCCUUUUGUGAGAGACGAUAAUGACGGUAUCUCACGAAUAAGCACCUGCUAACUCCGUACCAGCAGCCGCGGUAAUACGGAGGGUGAGAGCGUUAAUCGGAAUGAAUGGGCGUAAAGAGUGCGCAGGCGGGUUGGUAAGUCAGAUGUGAAAUCCUGUGGCUUAACUACAUAACUGCAUUUGAGACUUUGAGUCUAGAGUGUGGGAGAGGUAGGUGGAAUUCUUGGUGUAGGAGUAAAAUCCGUAGAUAUCAAGAGGAAUACUCAUGGCGAAGGCGACCUACUGGAACAUUACUGACGCUCAUGCACGAAAGCGUGGGGAGCAAAUAGGAUUAGAUACCCUAGUAGUC
This 440-nucleotide ribosomal RNA is filed under the name uncultured bacterium. RNAcentral's name for it is "partial 16S ribosomal RNA". It matches the Rfam family "Bacterial small subunit ribosomal RNA", at positions 338 to 795 of the family's 1533-position model. The record is from RNAcentral.